AAAGGGAGACCUAAUUCGGGUAUAAGACGAAAAAAUAGUAGUCGAAACCAAGAAUCAAUCCCAAAAGGUCGGAACGAGGUAUGUGGCUUUCAAACUAGGUUCUGGGUUCAUAAAGGACCUGAAUCAGGAACAAGGGCUAUUAGCUCAGGUGGUUAGAGCGCACCCCUGAUAAGGGUGAGGUCCCUGGUUCGAGUCCAGGAUGGCCCACCUGCACAGGUGGCAAAAACAAAGAAAAGAAGCGAGGAAUCAGCACCUUAUCUUACUUAUAUAGUAAGAGAGAAUGCUGGCUCUGAGUACAGAGUCCAGAGGAACCUUGAAAACUGCAUAGAGCUAGGUGAAAAAGCCAAAAAAGAAGACCGCAAG
RNAcentral lists this transfer RNA (363 nucleotides) under uncultured Microcystis sp. RNAcentral's name for it is "partial 16S-23S ribosomal RNA intergenic spacer". The stretch from base 134 to 207 matches the Rfam family "tRNA". The record is from RNAcentral. Lineage: Bacteria; Bacillati; Cyanobacteriota; Cyanophyceae; Chroococcales; Microcystaceae.